RNAcentral lists this transfer RNA (77 nucleotides) under Hyphomicrobiales bacterium. Its description in RNAcentral is "tRNA-Arg". It matches the Rfam family "tRNA". From Rfam's summary of the family: Transfer RNA (tRNA) molecules are approximately 80 nucleotides in length. Their secondary structure includes four short double-helical elements and three loops (D, anti-codon, and T loops). Further hydrogen bonds mediate the characteristic L-shaped molecular structure. tRNAs have two regions of fundamental functional importance: the anti-codon, which is responsible for specific mRNA codon recognition, and the 3' end, to which the tRNAs corresponding amino acid is attached (by aminoacyl-tRNA synthetases). tRNAs cope with the degeneracy of the genetic code in two manners: having more than one tRNA (with a specific anti-codon) for a particular amino acid; and 'wobble' base-pairing, i.e. permitting non-standard base-pairing at the 3rd anti-codon position. The record is from RNAcentral. Lineage: Bacteria; Pseudomonadati; Pseudomonadota; Alphaproteobacteria; Hyphomicrobiales. RNAcentral also lists the same sequence under 5 other names.
GGCUCCGUAGCUCAGCUGGAUAGAGCAGCCGCCUUCUAAGCGGCAGGUCGCAGGUUCGAACCCUGCCGGAGUCGCCA